This 86-nucleotide small RNA is filed under the name Paenibacillus sp. P22. RNAcentral's name for it is "psaA RNA". The record is from RNAcentral. Lineage: Bacteria; Bacillati; Bacillota; Bacilli; Caryophanales; Paenibacillaceae.
CAAGCCUGUACAAGAAGAAAGCAUACCACAUGCUUGUCUUCUUCUCUACGCCGAAAUGGCCGCCUCUUGAAGGGGCGGCCAUUUCG